RNAcentral lists this long non-coding RNA (2693 nucleotides) under Parus major (Great Tit). Its description in RNAcentral is "lncRNA (ENSPMJG00000018607.1)". Lineage: Eukaryota; Metazoa; Chordata; Aves; Passeriformes; Paridae. The record is from RNAcentral.
AUCAGGGGUAGAAGCACUGCUACUGUCAUUUCUUUGUAUCACCAUGGUGCCUAAGAGCCCUAGCCAUGGGCUUUGCUGUGCUGGGUGCUGGGCUUAGCCAGUGCAAACAAACCCUGGAAAGUGCAGACUAUUGUGUGUCCAUUUUGUGGAAUUUAUAAGCCCUUGUAACCCAUUCCUACCACAGGGAAUAAUGCUGGAUUUAAACAGCUCUGGAAGGCAAGAUCAAUUUCUGUGCUGACAAGCUGUAGAAAGUUUUUUUCUGACAAGCUAUGAGGGCUGCACUAAAUAGAUGUGGAGUAAGUGCAGAUGAAGUGGGACAUGAAAUCACAACUCGUUACUGAAUUGCACAGGUGUAUCUCUAUUCAGGGAAGACCAUGUUAAGGGGUGGAUUUUAUACUUUGAUCUGAAGAAGCUGGGAUUCCCAGAAGACCUCAUCUCUUUGAGGAUGGAGACACGUUGUGGAUGCAUGUCAUGAUGUGUAUGAAAAGAAGUUAAGUUGGAACAAGGAGGAGAAAGAAGUAUUUUGGGUUUUCAUGAGAAAACUGGUUUGGAGCACUACCUGCAAGUGCUCUCAGAGGCUAUUUGAAGAAGGAAGAAAGGAUUGGGCUAAAGAUUUUCAUGGAGAUUUUUAUUUUCACAUGAUCAAUCAUCCAACUGAGGCAAUGCAUGGUACAGAGGUGUGGGAAACAUGGCAUGCGACCUUAAAUAGACUAAGAUAAGUUUCCAUAUUUGUUGAAUUUGUUAAGUUUGUUAUGUUUGUUAAUUUUUUACAAAUACACUCAAUUUUAAAAAUCAUUGGUUUGUAAGUAAUUUAUAAUCAGAAAUCAGAAUUUGGAAUCAGACUGAAUCUUUUGAAAAUGUUAUCUGUUGUAACCAGCAUGUUCAACUGCAAUCAUAAUUCAUGUCAUUCAACUGCUGCAACUUAUUUUUCUAGAGUUUUUCUAGCAUAUGGAUCUAACCCCUAUGCGUAAGUUUUCACAAUCAGUCAAGGUUAAAUUCAUCUUUGAUGUAAAAGAGUUUUUUCAAUGAAGUGUUAAAAUUUGCUAGAUCUUUAAUCUGAUUAAUUAUGAAAUCUGAAGUUUUGAUAAUUUUUUCAUCAGCAGCACUGAUCUAAAAGUAGUCUCCAUCUCUGAAUACUUUGGCCUUACAUUUUCUUUUGAAAUACUUCAUUUAAUGCACACAAUGUCUUGCAGGCUGCUGUCUUAUUCUCUACAUGGCUGAAGAAUUUUCAGGUUUGCUGAAUUUAAAAUCAAACUUGUGCUGUACCAUGAAACUGAUUUCUCUUAUUUUGUCUGCCUUGGCAUCUCACAUCAGAUCUGUACUUUAGGAAAAGAGACACAUAACACAAUUUAAAGUUUGCUUCAAUCAGUUGUAUGAAUUUCUGCAGUGAUGGCUUUGGAACACUUCUAGUUACUCUGUUUUGAUUUCAGUACUUUGAUAAAUAGUGCCAUAACUCUUCCUUCUUUUACUUCAUCUGAAUUUGUGCAUCAAAAAUGAUCUCAAAUGAUAAGGUCUCUCAGGCAGAUAAACCAAGCCCUUCCAAUCUAGGAAUACAAAACUUUUUUGCCUUUUAAGGUUUGGUUUUUCUAAAAUUAAAAUGGUCUCAAGUUGUGGUCUGAAGUUGCCUAGAUAUUUACUACCCAUGUGUAUCUGUGUAGCUUGUUCACAUAACCAAAAUAGUUAUUUUUGUCUUCACAAAUAGAGCUCAUAAAAAUAUCUAUUUGUGAAGUCAGGCCUUUUUAUAAGUGAACUAAUGAGUUAUUCUCAUCAAGUAACAAUUUACUGCAGUUAGGCGGAUUGGAAAGGAGAUAGAGAGGGUAAGGAAAUGACAGCAGAAGGUUCUAUUAUGUAGUUUUAACUUUCCAGAAGACUGCCAAGAUAGAUGGACAGGAAAAUGGGGGAGAAAGGAAGAGAGAACUGAAGGCAGAGAAAAGCUAAUGAGAACCAGUGUUAAAGAAAUAGUAGUACCCUGGUGUCAGUGAGGGAACACUUUGGAGCUCCACUGAGGGCAGUCACCUGUAAAACUCCCAGCAGGGACAGACCCAGGGAGAUUGGUUAUUGGGCUGUUAGCACUGAGCAUAAAAGUCCCACAGGACAACUCUGCUCAUGCUCAUAUCCUUGUACCCCCUGGGCUCAUUUCAGCUAACUGGUGGUAUUUGAUUAACAACAGAGAAACAGGACAGAAAGAGUCCAACAUUUAAACAGAAAAUUUGCCCUUUAUCUUGCUGUAAGUUAGUGGUUUAUAAAUGGAUGUCUUUGACUUUUCUGCAACUUGUUCCAUGUGGGAAAGAAUAAUGGCUGAACAGAAUUUUCUUUUUUUAUAUGAAGAAAAUGAUCAGGAAAGUUGAACAUAAUGAUUUCAUGCCGUGACUAUAAUGCAAACACAUACUUAACCAUCAUUGUCUCCUCUUCAUAUAAUAACUGAAAACAUCUGUAUUGUGCACUGAAACAUUAUACGCUGCAUUACAAUUAGAAAUGUGCUGAAGUGUUGGAUUGGGUGUUUAUUUAUGGGCCAUGAAAAGUAAGAUUUUCUGCGCUUCUCAUGUACAGCUAAAUAGCCAUAGGUAGAGUACUGAAAAUUUUGGAACCCAGCAGUCACUGUGGGAAUGACUUCAUUAUUCACCAAAGGAGGUUUUUCCAGCAGAGCUGAGUUGCUGACAAACAAUAAUAAACAUUACUGAAAGUUGGAAACA